GCCCGUGGCCGGGUGGACAGUGAGAAGGGCAUCUCCCUCCGCUUCCCGCGGUUUGUUCGCGUCCGUGAAGACAAGACGCCGGAGGAGGCCACCACCAGCUCCCAGGUGGCCUGGCUGUACCGGAGGCAGAGUCUCCAGGAGGACACAGACCAAGACUCCGACCCGGACCUGGAGGUUUCCUGCUAGGCCCUGCCCUCCGGACGGGCGGCCGGCACCGCCGGCGUCAGAAGCAGACGUGGUGUGGUGUCAGUGUGUGUGCGGGUGUGGUUUAACGUGGGGAUUUAGUCGUUUCUAAAAAAAUAAAUAAUUAUUAACCCCC
Pipistrellus kuhlii (Kuhl's pipistrelle) is the source of this 319-nucleotide long non-coding RNA. RefSeq lists it as uncharacterized. The transcript is spliced from 3 exons. NCBI's taxonomy places the organism in Eukaryota, Metazoa, Chordata, Mammalia, Chiroptera, Vespertilionidae. The record is from RefSeq and is a predicted model, not a curated record.